AUUGAACGCUGGCGGCAUGCCUUACACAUGCAAGUCGAACGGCAGCACGGGAGCAAUCCUGGUGGCGAGUGGCGAACGGGUGAGUAAUAUAUCGGAACGUGCCCAGUAGUGGGGGAUAGCCCGGCGAAAGCCGGAUUAAUACCGCAUGAGACCUGAGGGUGAAAGCGGGGGAUCGCAAGACCUCGCGCUAUUGGAGCGGCCGAUAUCAGAUUAGCUAGUUGGUGGGGUAAAGGCCUACCAAGGCAACGAUCUGUAGUUGGUCUGAGAGGACGACCAGCCACACUGGGACUGAGACACGGCCCAGACUCCUACGGGAGGCAGCAGUGGGGAAUUUUGGACAAAUGGGCGCAAGCCUGAUCCAGCAAUGCCGCGUGCAGGAAGAAGGCCUCGGUUGUAAC
Molecule: ribosomal RNA, 398 nt
Filed under: uncultured bacterium
Lineage: Bacteria
Description: bacterial SSU rRNA
Rfam family: Bacterial small subunit ribosomal RNA
Source: RNAcentral